UUUUUCUUUUUUUCUCUUGCUUUCUCUCCCUGUCUUUCCUUCUCUCUCUCUCUAUCUCUCUGUCCCCUGCCAAAGGCAUUAAAAAGAGAUGGGAACCACUCCACCAAGCAUGUGUGUGUGUGGGGUGGGGGGGUCCUAACCCAUGGCCCUGCUUUGCUGGGGAAGCAGGUUGUGAACAAGACCCCUGGCACAAAUGAGAUGAGGUUAGUGCUCGCAGUUUAAUUCUUAAUAGGGCACAGCGUGCUCUGCGGAUAUGAAAUAUACAAUAUGGGGGAAAUGGAGUCCUUUCUAGAAUUAGUUUUUCCUCUUGGUUAAUGAGGGUGAGAGGAGAAUGAAGGCAUAAACUGAGAGCGAAGUAAAACCCAAGAGGCCGAGCCCUCCAGGGAGACACUGCUGGAGAGGGGCCAGGGCUGCUUUGGUUUGCCCACAGGGUGACUGGAUCACAGGAGGUUAGAGAGGAUGUCAGGAGCUGAGAGGGUCCGGCCUCCUCGUCUCAUAUAGGCAGUGACUGUCCAAAGAGGUAGCAAAAGCCCACAGCAACCACUUGGCCUCUCUACAGGUCUCCUGGGACCAGCCGCAGCAGACACCAGAUGUGUUAAUGCCUUGUUCUCUCAACCAGUAAGAACAUAACUGUUAAUUGGUAAAUGUGCACACUGUUAGAUGUCAAAAGCCUAGUCUAAGAAGGAGAAAAAGACACAGACUUGUUUUUCUCAGAGCUUCCUUCGAAGGUUCCUCAUAAAACUUAGGUGGAGUCGUAUCUGCUUAGGUUUCUUUCCUCCUUCUCCCAGUUAAGUUGUUAAAGGGAAUACAUUUUCUGGAGAUUUGAAGCAGAAAGACAAUCAGAUAUACUGGGCAAAAGUAGUGAUCUUGAGGAAAAUUCUUUCUGUUGUGUGUAAAUGGUUAAAUUUCUGAAUAGAGGCCAUGUGCAGAGAGAAGGAGGCAAAGAAAUGGACAUAAAUUUCAGCAAAAGUAGAUUUCACGAAACCAUGAGGUCCCCAAAGUUAACAAAGUUCUAGUAACUUACAGGUGAAGCAUUUCA
RNAcentral lists this long non-coding RNA (1039 nucleotides) under Macaca fascicularis (crab-eating macaque). RNAcentral describes it as "lncRNA (ENSMFAG00000063970.1)". Lineage: Eukaryota; Metazoa; Chordata; Mammalia; Primates; Cercopithecidae. The record is from RNAcentral.